CGCUAAGAAGCUUAUAUAGCAUCAGCCUUUUAAGCUGAGGAGGAAUAAUGCUUUCCUUAGUGA
This 63-nucleotide transfer RNA is filed under the name Protobothrops mucrosquamatus (brown spotted pit viper). RNAcentral's name for it is "tRNA-Lys". The record is from RNAcentral. Lineage: Eukaryota; Metazoa; Chordata; Lepidosauria; Squamata; Viperidae.